Molecule: ribosomal RNA, 1814 nt
Filed under: Trichinella murrelli
Lineage: Eukaryota; Metazoa; Nematoda; Enoplea; Trichinellida; Trichinellidae
Description: SSU rRNA
Rfam family: Eukaryotic small subunit ribosomal RNA
Source: RNAcentral
CCUGGUUGAUCCUGCCAGUAGUCAUAUGCUUGUCUCAAAGAUUAAGCCAUGCAUGUGUAAGCACACACUGUUUUAAAAGUGAAGCCGCGAAUGGCUCAUUACAACAGCCACAGUUUAUUAGAACUUACAAUCAUGGAUAACUGUGGUAAUUCUAGAGCUAAUACACGCACAAAAACUUCAACUGAAUUGGUUGAAGUGCUUUUAUUAGAACAAAAACCGAACGGCGUUUGGCGAAUGUUGAACGUCGAAACUGUUUGGUGAAUCUGAAUAACUAUUUCUGAUCGCAUGGUCUAGCACCGGCGACAUCACUUUCAAGUGUCUGCCUUAUCAACCUUCGAUGGUAGUCUAUGCGACUACCAUGGUGAUAACGGGUAACGGAGAAUCAGGGUUCGACUCCGGAGAGGGAGCCUGAGAAACGGCUACCACAUCCAAGGAAGGCAGCAGGCGCGCAAAUUACCCACUCCCAGCUUGGGGAGGUAGUGACGAAAAAUAACGAGACGAUUCUCGUUUGAGAAACGUUAUCGAAAUGAGUACGCUUUACACACGCUAACGAGUAGCAAUUGGAGGGCAAGUCUGGUGCCAGCAGCCGCGGUAAUUCCAGCUCCAAUAGCGUAUAUUAAAGUUGCUGCGGUUAAAACGCUCGUAGUUGAAUUGUGGUCUUAGACAACAGUCCCCCUACAUAGGUGUGGCACGGUUGCUCGAGAUCUUCAUUCGUGGUUGCUGUUGUUGCUCUUCAUUGAGUGUCAAUGGUGCCUCGAGAUUUUACUUUGAAAAAAUUAGAGUGCUCAAAGCAGGUUGUGAUGCCUGAAUAAUGGUGCAUGGAAUAAUAGAAUACGAUCUCGGUUCUAUUUGUUGGUUUUCGAACCGGAGAUAAUGAUUGAAAGGAACAGACGGGGGCAUUCGUAUUGCUGCGUUAGAGGUGAAAUUCUUGGAUCGCAGCAAGAUGAACAAUUGCGAAAGCAUUUGCCAAGAAUGUUUUCAUUAAUCAAGAACGAAAGUUAGAGGUUCGAAGGCGAUCAGAUACCGCCCUAGUUCUAACGGUAAACUAUGCCAACCAGCGAUUCGCCGAAGUUCAUUUAAGACUCGGCGAGCAGCUUCCGGGAAACCAAAGUGUUUCGGUUCCGGGGGAAGUAUGGUUGCAAAGCUGAAACUUAAAGGAAUUGACGGAAGGGCACCACCAGGAGUGGAGCCUGCGGCUUAAUUUGACUCAACACGGGAAAACUCACCCGGCCCGGACACUGGAAGGAUUGACAGAUUGACAGCUCUUUCUUGAUUCAGUGGGUAGUGGUGCAUGGCCGUUCUUAGUUGGUGGAGCGAUUUGUCUGGUUAAUUCCGAUAACGAACGAGACUCUACCCUAUUAAAUAGUGACAGUAUUGUAUUUUUUGUGCUGAUCACUUCUUAGAGGGACUGGCAAAUUGAAAGCUGCACGAAAAAGAGCAAUAACAGGUCUGUGAUGCCCUUCGAUGUCCGGGGCUGCACGCGCGCUACAAUGAAAGCGUCAACGUGAGUUACGUCCUUACCUGAAAAGGUUUGGCAAUCGAAUGAAACGUUUUCUUGAAUGGAAUAGGGAAUUGCAAUUGUUUCCCUUGAACGAGGAAUUCCCAGUAAGCGUGAGUCAUUAGCUCGCGUUGAUUACGUCCCUGCCCUUUGUACACACCGCCCGUCGCUACUACCGAUUGGAUGAUUUAGUGAGGUGUUUUGACUGGCGCCAGUAGUCGGAUGUAUUCGGCUUCGCGCCGGGAAAUUUCCCAAACCAAAUCAUCUAGAGGAAGUAAAAGUCGUAACAAGGUUUCCGUAGGUGAACCUGCGGAAG